RNAcentral lists this ribosomal RNA (3938 nucleotides) under Triticum aestivum (bread wheat). RNAcentral's name for it is "partial small subunit ribosomal RNA". The record is from RNAcentral. Lineage: Eukaryota; Viridiplantae; Streptophyta; Magnoliopsida; Poales; Poaceae.
CUCCCUGGCGGGCGCUAACGAUGCGAAGCGCUCGCACGAACGGACGGUAAAGGAGGGCAGGCGGGGGCCGGGCUGGGUUAAAGAAGAGGUGGGGGGAGGGAGGAGGGGAUGGUGGUGGUGGUGGUGGAGGUAGUGGAAGAGAGGGGGAGGAGGGGGGAUCGGUCGAUCGAUCGAGAGAACGGCAGUAGUGUGGCGGAGGAGGAGAGGAGAGAGAGAUGAGGCGCCGCCGCGUAGAGGUAGCGGGUAAGUAACAAGAAGCGGGCCGCCGCCGUCACUCAGCUGCGAGAUUGCGUCGGGCCGCGGCCGCGGCCGCCCUGACCCGCACGGUCUUCGCGCCGGCUUUUGCGCAGACGUUCGGCGCCUCUACGUGUUCUAAUAUCGUGAACAAGAAGAGUAACAAGCCGAGACUCGUAACCAACUAAGCACUUCACUUCUAUCGUACCCGGGACCCUGCCGUAGGCGCAGGACCCCAAACGUUGAGCCGCACCACGACCAGAAAGACGACCGGAGACCGACGGUCCCCGACUCGGUACUCCCGACCGAAGAGGACCGCGAGUUCUCGGUCUACUAACUGUCAAUGGUGGUGGAACUGUUGACCUUGGGGUUCCUAGGUAGCGGCACGCGCACCUCACCACAGUUGACGAGGAGGAGGAGCAGCAGCAGCUCCGAUCGUCACCACAGAGAGUUGCAGUCGUUGUACUUGGACAGCCCGUGGCAGCCGGGGCCGUAACCGCCAGAAUGGCUCGACUGAUCGGAGCUAGACAGGAAGUUACUCAAGAGACCACGGUAGGGAGGCCUGUAGCCCUUAACGAGUUUUGACCACAACGAGUUGAACUUAUUGUUGUUAAAACUACCAUGUUAGGGGGGACUCGAACCCUUCGACCGGUACGACUGGCCUACGUUAGACACGUUAUUGUCCGAGGUACCAGGUUAUGGACUACUCUAACCAUUGUACAGUAGUGAAGUUCUGAACCACCCCAUGUCAUUGUUAGAGAGGCCAAGAUAUGGCGUAAGCCAGCCGUUCGAGUUCGUGGAGUUCUGGUAGGCCGACCCUGUCUUAGAAUAUAGACCGUCGUAAGGACGGCUCUAUCCGCUUACGGCGUUGGACUGGCACAAACCAGAACGCGUCUUGUUCAACCUUCCCGGAAACGGUUUUCUCUAACCCUCUAACCCAGAGUACUGUCUGGAGUAGGACACCCCUUUAGUCGAAAGACCGGGGGAAGGAGGUCUCUAGCCCUUAACAUGUUUAGAGUCCUGAUAACGGGAAAUACUAUUACUAGACCAACCAGGAUAUGGACGUCGUUAACCCUUGUAAUGAAUAGAACUCUUCGACAUAGAAAUGUCCUUAAGCUAUUUACCAUGGUAAGGUAGACUUUAACCCUUCGAAAGAAAACGUCUCCUCCAACUAAAAAGUCUCUUAAAGAAUUGCCCUCCCUAUGGUUUCCUCAACCCGUUGUAUGGUCCCAACAUAGAUGAGAUGGAGAAGGUCUUAGUCGAAUGACCGAAAUAAGGAUCACUCAACACACCUAACUCCUUGAACUCGUUCGAACUAGAAAGCUAGUUAAGUGAGUGACCGGGUUAAGGUCGGCCUAAAGUCAUGUACUGGUUCGAUUAGGUCAACGUUGAGAAGUUGUUAUACGAUAGUCCCCUGUAUGGAGGUUCCAAACCGUAAAUGUCAGCUGACACCCACCACCUAAAGAGUUUGUUGUUGUAAUGUCCCGUCUAUGGAUCUCUAGAAACAUCCGUCAGUUUGGAAUAAAACAACUUAGACCCCAGAUUGUUCAACUGACCUUUGUAUGGAGUGUCUUAGUGGUCGACAUUUAGGAACCACGUCGAAGCAGAGUCACUGUUGUCAGACUGUCCUUCGAAGAGGUGACUAGAGACGUUAGACCACUUAAACUGUUGUUAGCUCGACCGAGCUUUGUUCAAGUUACCGGGAUAAGGAGGAGUCUAUCCCUUGACGUUACGAGACGUCUCCGAAUUGGAACGUUUAUUAAUAAAGUGUAGACUCAACGGGGCUCUUUAUCCCUUUAACAGUUUCGAACAGCAGAAGUUAUAGAGUAGAUUGUCCGAUCCUCCUUCGUAUGGUGACCUCUAGAAGUUAACAUGUUGUAACGUCGCAGAACUAGAGUCGGUCUUAUCGAAACUUCCAAGUAACGGUUUACUUCAACCAUCUGACGGAGUUGACCUCGAAGAGAGCAAGCGACUAUUAUCCGAUAGACCCGUCUACGGUGGAUAAGAACCAUUUGAAAGUGUAAACUGUCGUGACGUCUAACCACCGUUAGUUAAGAGACCACCUUAUGGUUUCCUCGACCCCGACGAGAGUUCGAACGUCUAACGGUACUUAAACUCGAUAUUAUUAGAGAGACCCUUAUAUGGUAGUCUCGAACCGUCAGAACGUAAUAACCUUUCAAACAAAGAGUUAUUAUUGUUGGACUGUCCACUUUAGGGUCUAUGUAAACAUUUGGACAGUUCAAACGAAGUCGAGUUACAGAGCAUGUUAUUAGAGUGGCCAUGAGAAGGGGGACACGGCGAAAAACUGUUGUACCAACACUGGUCGAAAUAACCUUUGUCUCCUGAGACACCACCUGUUGAACCGUUCACACCUAGACUCAGUGGGAGGAGAAGGGUCCGUAGGCUGAGCCUACGCAUAUGUAAAGUCCUUGACCAGAGACGAUGUUUAUUAAAACUACUAUCAACACAGUAACCUGCCCCACGAACACCCUGACACAUGUUUCGGCAGGACUUCGGACCCGUCUAUUAACGCCAUUUCUUCAACCGAAGUUUGUCCCUUCCUUCGUUGUGCCUAUUGUCGAAGGCACGCCUCUAGUACUGAGAACCUUUCUAUUCUGUAGCAUUGUAACACUUCGACAUGCCAAAGUAGAUAGUGGUCCCACGUUUGGAAAACAACAUACUCAUGUACGGUUCUCCGUCGGAACCUCUCGAUGAAGUGCCUCUUAGAAGAAGAAGUGAGCUAACCCUCUGUGCGAAGUGCUAUCGGGAACCCCGUCGACUUCCCGAAAGUAUGAACGUAGUACUAACGUUCGGAGCCUAGUAGGUGGCACUAUAGUUCAGUUUAUUGUAAAAUGAACUACUGUUGAAACUUCGAGUACAACCACUGAAACCCAACCGAUUCCAUUAACUGUACGGUCAGAGUUUCAGAUACAGACGUUAACGACCAAGUAUACCGAUAUAACGUGGUCUCAUACGCAUGUGGUACUUCCACUGACUCUUUAGACUGUAUAUGUCGAUACCACAGCACGACAACCUCGACGAUUGGCCGGCACGCGGACACGUUGGCUAUCUUAACCCUCCACUAGACCAUUGUACCCGGUUUUUAAUGUAGUCCCUGUUAAGAGACCCAGGUCCCUAUAAACUGUCAUUAGAACUAAACCUUCUAUUUCGGCAGCAGCUAGUAUACUAGCUCCAGAACUUUUAACGAGACGAUACAUCAUUGGACAGCGGCAUGCUCUCUGGCGGCUACGCCGUACAACAUCAAUACAAUUCGCUCAGGUUUCUAUCCCGGGCCCGCUCGAGCCGCAGCAGCGGACGAAGACUAUUAAGAAGCUUCUUCCUAUCGAGUACUACAUAAAUAUAUAUAUUCAAGUCAAUCACUUUCCGUUGGUUAUGGUCAACGAGGGAAAGGGGACAACGAAUACCACCCCUACAACCCUCGUACGUGAGUAAGAAAGACAGUUAACAAAAGAUCACCCUAUUUAUUAUGACUGACUAUUGUCACCCUAACACAUACAUACAAUCGGAGAGACUACUUCUUCCAUCAGAGCUCAGGUCUGUCAUUGGGGCUCAUCAAGUCGGUCCCAAGGAGGGACCUGCACCGCGACACGGAGAACGAAUCUAAACCCAAAUCAUAACUCUAAAGAGUUACAACUUUAUACUUACACGAAAACGACCUUGUUGUACCAGAAAGACUUGAACAC